Mytilus trossulus (common blue mussel) is the source of this 8778-nucleotide long non-coding RNA. RefSeq lists it as uncharacterized. The transcript has 11 exons. The record is from RefSeq and is a predicted model, not a curated record. Lineage: Eukaryota; Metazoa; Mollusca; Bivalvia; Mytilida; Mytilidae.
AAGAUGCUGGUUGGAUGAUAGAGAAACCAUCACCAAGUGUGACAGUGGCAUGCAGACACACAGACACACAUUUCAUGGAGACAAAUAUUGUCAAAUCUUAUGAAUGGAAUGGAAGGGAACUUCGGCGGAAAGCAAUUAAACUGGCUAACCUGCGAACAAGAAUAACCCACUCAGAACAAACUAAUCUCAGUAAAAUGAGAAGAGACACAGCCAUUCAAGUCUGGCCUCCAAAAGAUCAUACAACACAGACCAAGACAGAUUCCUACACAAAUGUACCACAGCUAACUUUCAAGCAAGGACGGAAGCUCAAGAACCCGGCAAUCAAUCCUUGCCGUCACCUGUUUUCACCAGUUUUCAUUCACUGCUAGAUUGUAUCAGUUACUAGUAUAAGAUGUGUACUAGGAUUAAUAAUGUGUUCAUGCUAUUGGAAUGUAUAGAUGUCUACUAUAAAAGAUUAGGAGACAUCUUUAAAGUGUCAACAGAAGUCACACAUAGAUCACAGCAACAGAAAAGUACAGAAUUUUGAGAAACAAGUGUUUGAGGUACUCAAGGGAGAUCAUGGUUCUGUAGAAUAUGCUCAGCUCUUGAUACAAGCCUUUACGCAUCUAAUGAAGUUUAUGACAGAUCAGAAGAGAACCAUCAGGGUUUCACUACUCUUACCUGAAGCUGAAAAUGUAAAGUUCAGGUUACAACUUUGUGCUACAGCCACAAAUCAGCUGAUUACUCUAUAUAAGCAUGUCAUAGAUUAUUACAACGAUGACGAUUGCACAGAUUUUACAGUACACUUGAUACUUCACAAGCUGAGAGAAGAUUUACUCAAGUAUAGAAAAUGUUUCAGUGGAUCAGAGUUUGUCAAGUGGAUAAUAGAGAACCAUAACUUGAUUUAACCACUGAGUUCACAAUUAGGUUUGCCUACAGAUUAUAUUCUUAUAACUAAAGAAAUAGCAGCAUUAAUGGGCAGGAGAUUUUUGGAAAGUAACCUGAUAGUAGAUGCAGAAAUUUAUGAUGAAUAUGAUCAAGACUCACAUACCACCUUAAUGUAAAAAUGGGGAAAUGUGUAUGCAACAUAUUGUUUCAAGAAUAGACAGAUGAUAGACUGGACCUGGAUACAAGCCUUAAUGCAACAAAUUAUCCUCAGUUGAGCAUCAUGGAAAAUGAACAGAAUAACAGAAGGGGAGAUAACUCAUCAAUUGAUAGUGAUGCAACACCAACUGAUACAUAUCCAAAAACUCUAUAUCGUGUACAUGGCAAAAUUUUAGUUUCGCCUGCCCAGCUACCAAGACAGACAAACAGAAGCUUUAAUAAACCAGUCUUUCAAUUAUCAUGUGAUACACCAAUGUCUUUCAGUACUUUAUUCAACGAGAGUGAUGGGCCAGUAUUUGAAAAUUGUGAUAAUCAUUUUUACUACAUUGCUACCAUGACAACUCUCCACAAUGCAGAAAACCAUGAACCUCCAUCAGAGUUAGAUAUUUUAGUGGAACAAUGUUUCCAAAGUCAUAUUUCUUCCAAUUCUUUACUGCAUAUUAUUUAUAGUCGUAGAAAGUUUGAUUCAUGUGCCAAGGUUUUUCUCCAGAACCAAUCAGCCUCUGUUCUGAGGAAACUUAAAGCAGAUUUAGAAGAUCACACUUCGUGUGAAAUAAGUUAGUUUUAUAUUAAAAUCUGAUCAUAUUUGAUUUUUAUUUCUAUCAGAUACAUUCAUAGGUGUCAACACUCAAUAUUUUUUUUUAUAAUUGUCAUCAGGUCCAUAGGAAAGCUGUAAUUUCUCUCUUUCCCCAGUUUCUAUCCCUUUCACUUUUAAAUGACUAUAAAUAGUUGAUUAUGUUAAAAAAAAAUAUGAAAAUUUUAUACAAUACAGUUAUAGCUAUCUGAAAAGUUAAUUCUACUUACUAAGUCUUUUUUGAAUAUCUAUUACAUUUGUACUAUAAGUUAUUAAUGCACAAAAUGUGACUAGGUGCAAUCACAAAAUUAAUAAUUCAUUUUUAGCUCACCUGGCCCGAAGGUCAACCAACCAAGAUGGCCGCCACCGCUAAAAAUAGAACAUAGGGGUAAAAUGCAGUUUUUGGCUUAUAACUUAAAAACCAAAGCAUUUAGAGCAAAUCUGACAUGGGGUAAAAAUGUUUAUCAGGUCAAGAUCUAUCUGCCCUGAAAUUUUCAGAUGAAUCGGUUAAUCGGUUGUUGGGUUGCUGCCCCUGAAUUGGUAAUUUUGAAGAAAUUUUGCUGUUUUUGGUUAUUAUCUUGAAUAUUAUUAUAGUUAGAGAUAAACUGUAAACAGCAAUAAUGUCUAGCAAAGUAAGAUCUACAAAUAAGUCAACAUGACCAAAAUGGUCAGUUGACCCGUUUAGGAGUUAUUGCCCUUUAUAGUCAAUUUUUAACCAUUUUUCGUUAAUUAAAGUAAUCUUUUACAAAAAUCUUCUCCUCUGAAACUGCUUGGCCAAAUUAAUCCAAACUUGGCCACAAUCAUCUUUGGGGUAUCUAGUUUAAAAAAUGUGUGGCGUGACCUGGUCAACCAACCAAGAUAGCUGCCACGGCUAAAAAUAGAACAAAGGGGUAAAAUGCAGUUUUUGGCUUAUAACUCAAAAACCAAAGCAUUUUGAGGAAAUCUGACAUGGGAUAAAAAUGUUUAUCAGGUCAAGAUCUAUCUGCCCUAAAAUUUUCAGAUGAAUCGGUCAAUCGGUUGUUGGGUUGCUGCCCCUGAAUUGGUAAUUUUGAGGAAAUUUUGCUGUUUUUGGUUAUUAUCUUGAAUAUUAUUAUAGAUAGAGAUAAACUGUAAACAGCAAUAAUGUUCAGCAAAGUAAGAUCUACAAAUAAGUCAACAUGACCAAAAUGGUCAGUUGACCCGUUUAGGAGUUAUUGCCCUUUAUAGUCAAUUUUUAACCAUUUUUCGUAAAUUUUAAGUAAUCUUUUACAAAAAUCUUCUCCUCUGAAACUACAUGGCCAAAUUAAUCCAAACUUGGCCACAAUCAUCUUUGGGGUAUCUAGUUUUAAAAAUAUGUGGCGUGACCUGGUCAACCAACCAAGAUGGCCGCCACCGCUAAAAAUAGAACAUAGGGGUAAAUGCAGUUUUUGGCUUAUAACUCAAAAACCAAAGCAUUUUGAGGAAAUCUGACAUGGGAUAAAAAUGUUUAUCAGGUCAAGAACUAUCUGCCCUGAAAUUUUCAGAUGAAUCUGUCAAUCGGUUGUUGGGUUGCUGCCCCUGAAUUGGUAAUUUUGAGGAAAUUUUGCUGUUUUUGGUUAUUAUCUUGAAUAUUAUUAUAGAUAGAGAUAAAUUGUAAACAGCAAUAAUGUUCAGCAAAGUAAGAUCUACAAAUAAGUCAACAUGACCAAAAGGGUCAGUUGACCCCUUUAGGAGUUAUUGCCCUUUAUAGUCAAUCUUUAACCAUUUUCCAUAAAUCUAAGUAAUCUUUUACAAAAUCUCCACUGAAACUACUAGGCCACAAUCAUCUUUGGGGUAUCUAGUUUGAAAAAUGUGUCGGAUGACCUGGCCAUUCAACCAAGAUGGCCGCCACGGCUAAAAAUAGAACAUAGGGGUAAAAUGCAGUUUUUUGCUUAUAACUAUGAAACCAAAGCAUCUAGAGCAAAUCUGACAAGAAGUUAAAUUGUUAAUCAAGUCAAUAUCUAUCUGCCCUGAAUUUUUCAGAUGAAUUGGACAACUGGUUGUUGGGUUGCUGCCCUCCAAUUGGUAAUUUUUAAAGAAAUUUUGCCGUUUUUGGUUAUCUUGAAUACUAUUAUAGAUAGCGAUAAACUGUAAACAGCAAUAAUGUUCAGCAAAGUAAGAUCUACAAAUAAGUCAACAUGACCUAAAUGGUCAAUUGACCCCUUAAGGAGUUAUUGCCCUUUAUAGUCAAUUUUUAACAAUUUUCAUUAAUUUGGUAAAUUUAUGUAAAUUUUUACCAAAUAUAGUUCUCUGUUACUAAUGGGCAAAGUUCAUGAUAGAUAUAAUUGUAAGAAGCAAAAUCGUUCAGUAAAGUAAGAACUUCAAACACAUCACCAUCACCAAAAUACAAUUUUGUCAUGAGUCCAUUUGUGUCCUUUGUUUAAUAUGCACAUAGACCAAGGUGAGCGACACAGGCUCUUUAGAGCCUCUAGUUUUGUAUCUAAAUUGCAAUAAUUAAUCUCAGAUUUUUGUCCAUUUAAAAAAAAAUCAAUAAUUUCUCGUUUUACAGUGAAAAGAAUUGUUUAAGUUAAUAAAUGGAAACUGGUUCUACAUCCAAUCUCCCUAUGAGAAAUUCAACGACAGAUUUCACAAUAUAAGUGCUUAAGAUGUUGACAUCUAUGGAUAGAAUUUGUGUUUAGGUAGCCAAGCAGCUUUAAAUUUCUAUUAUAUGAUUAUGUUAAAAUACUAAUGGCGUGUAAAAAAUAUAUGAAUGUGCAUCUUUAUGAGAAAAUAAUGUUAAAAUUUAUGGCUGCUAUUGAAUUUUUAAAAUAAAACAAAAAUGUUUAAGUAUAUCAGAUAUGAAAAGUUUUUGAUCUCAAUUUUUGAAUGUUCGUUGAAGAUUGAAAUUUGUAUAUUUGUUAGCUUUUUAUUGCUUCCUAUUUUAGUAUAUUUUGUUUAAGAUUUGGAUAACAUAAACAAGUAUAGUUUAUAGCUCUGCAUCUCUGAUUUAAAUAGCUGUCAGUUAUCACUUUUUACCCCCACCAAAAAAAAAAACUUUAGAAAAGUGUGACAUAGAAUAAAUUAAAAAUAUGCUUUCAUGUUGAAAGUAAUAAAAUUGUAAUUAAGAAAUUUAAUAAUUUAAUUUUGGUUGUAAUGAGUCUUCUGAUUUGCUGACGUUGUUUUAUUUAUCAAUUCAUAGACAUAGUUUUGUCAUGUGACCGUGACGUCAUCAACACAUUUUUAAUGGUUUAAUUUGGUUUAAAAUGGAAUUUUGAAUUAAAUUAUAAGAAAUGACUGUAAUAUUUUUCUGUCUUUUUGAAGUAACAUGGAAAAUGUGGUGCACACUUUGAAAUAACCUGUUACACGGGUUAUUCAGUGUGCACCACAUUUUUUAUGUUAUUUCUUCAUAAACAUUUUUAAUUUCUUUAAUGUGAUAUUUUUAUUUUGUAAAAAAAAAAGAAAACAACAAAGCUCAUCCAUAUUUUUAAUUACAAAAUUCUGUAAAGUAAAUUAAGAUAAAUUUUGUUGUUACAUUGUAUUUAAAGGAAAUGAUGUGGCGCUUCAGUUUCUGCACUCUUAACAUUAAUCAAUGUUUUCAGCACCUAAUUCUUUUGGUUGUGUAUAAUCUUCAUUGAUAUAAAUAUGUACUGAAUUCAUUGAAGUGAAUUUUAAAGAUAAUGUAUUUAUGUGCAAUAUUUCUUAGUGACUCAGGGAAAUUUGUUAAAUGACAUACCAGUUAUAAUAUGUAAUUUAUUAUGUUAGAAACAUUCUAAUUGAUGUAGAAAAGACCAUUCUGUGUCUUAUUUUUAUACAUUUAUUAAUGUACAAUAGUCAUAUAAAUAUGUAUAAAUACAAUAUGUACAUGAAAUGUGCUUGACAAUCAGCUGUGAUAUUUGUUAAAUCAGUUUUAAAAUAUUGAAAUUUUAUAUAAGUGUUGAAAUAAACAUCAUUUGUUUGUAUAUAUUUUUGCUGAAUCAGUGUAUUGAAUAAAUUGUAUUCUAAGUAGUCUAACUGUAUAGCUAGCUCUUUGUAGUGCGAACUUAGUAAAUUUCAUAAUAGCUCAAAUAUAGUGGACAUGGACAAAUUGAUAAUUUUCUUGAGAGAAUUUCAUUAUAACAAGAUUCCAAAGUUAUUAUAUCUUGAAAGUCAUUUCAAGCCAGAAAAAAAACCCAUCUCAGUGCACUUGCUUUUUAUCCCCUUUUUUCUUGAUAUAUCAUAUACUUUGUACUAAGUACUUCUUUUAAUAAUAAAAAAAUGAUUGAACCAUAUUUUAACUUGGAUAGUUUAAAUAUAUUUAUGAAAAAUCAAUGAUAAAACUUGAUGCCCCCUCCACUAUGACAGGGGCAUAAAAAGUGGGGUUUUAUCCUAUUGCUAAUGUCAACAAUUCCAAACAACAUUAAAUACUAAAAGCAAGAUGGUGAACAUGACCAUCAAAAAUCUUUUUAAAGCUCGAAAUUAAAAAAAAUCACUUGGUCAGUGGGUAGGAAGUUUGAGAAUUUCUAGAUAUUUAAUAUUGCUUUGGAAUUUCAUAUGAUAGAAUAAGAUUCUAUUGAUUUUAUUCCUUUUAUUAAGUAUCAGUUAGAAUUCAAAUGUGUAAAAUUCAGUAAAAUAGGAAGUUACACUAUGUUAUCAAUAAGGGGAAAUAAAUUAACUGUUGAUAAAACUUUUGAAUUUUUUAAAUACUAAAGCUUCUCUACCUCAGGAAUAGAUUACUGUAGCUGUAAUUGGCAAAACUUUAAGGAAUUUUGGUCCUCAAUGCAAUUCAACAUCGUACUUUAUUCAGCAUUUUUAACUUUUUUGGAUUCAAGCGUCACUGAUAAGUCUUUUGUAGAAGAAACGUGUGUCUGGCAUAAAUACAAAAUUUAAUCUUGGUAUCUAUGAUGAAUUUACUUAUAUAAUCUAUUCAUCAUAUUGAUUAAACUCAUCUCUAAAUAUAAAGAACUCUUAUGCAAAAUAGGUUCCAUUGACAAAUACUAAUGAAUUAUCUGUAAGUCAGAUUAAGUAUAAGUAAACUUUGUCUUUAGUCCUUAAGUUAUUUCAGACAAUUUAGUCUGAUUCCAAAGAUUACCUUAGUAAUUAGCUUUGUAAAUAAUCAACUGAUACAUGUGGUUAUCAUAAAUAAGUAACUUUCAAUAAUUUUAAUAACCUCCCCCAAAAUAAAAAUCUUUAAAUUUUAUUUAUGUAAAUGGAUUAAUUUGGGAAAUACAUCUUGUAAUUCAACUUGUGUUUGAUCUUAUACCACCGUUCGCCAUAUGUGUAAGGCCCAUUGGUACUAGAAUGAAAGGGAAUCAGAGCGAAUUAACACUGCUUACAAUCUGUUUUCUGGUGGCUGACUGCUGCAAAUGAAUGGUAUACAUUUUUGAAGGAAAAAGCUGAAGCACGAUUCCAGUUGCGGGAGUUUCUCACUGCAUUGAAAACCCAUUGGUGGCCUUCAGCUGAUGUCUGCCUUUUGAUUAGGUUGUUGUUUCUUUGACACAUUCCCCAUUUCCAUUCUCAAUUUUAUACUGUUUCAUAUUCAUUGUAUCUGAUAAAAAUUAAUAUGUUCUAAAUAGACCAACGUUUAUGAUGAGAUUGAUUUAUAACUAGUAUAACUCAUUAAAUGCAAAAUCUAAAAUAAGGUUAAAGUGGUUUUGACAGUUAUUAUCAGACAAAAAGAACCCUAGCCUGCUUUCUCGUCCACCGUCUAUGCAGGAGGGAACCUUUGAAUAUUAUUGGUGUUAGUAUACUGAAAGUAUUAUGUAACAAACAUAGCUCAGGAUCCUAUAAUUUAGUGGUUGUCGUUUGUUUAUGAGUUACAUAUUUGUUUUUCGUUCAUUUUUUAUAUAAGUAAGGCCUUUAGCCGUCUUGUUUGAAUUGUUUUACAUUGUCAUAUUAGGGCCUUUUAUAGCUGACUAUGCAGUAUGGGCUUUGCUCAUUGAUGAAGACCUAUAAUUGUUAAUUUCUGUGUCCUUUUGGUCUCUUGUGGAGAGUGGUCUCAUUGGCCAUCAUACCACAUCUUCUUUUCUUAUAGCUGUACAUAACUGAAUCCUUUUCUACAUCCAAACAAAAAUGUAAAAAAUGUAAACAAAAAUUUGUCUCAGGAGUUUUCCUUCUUUAUAAGGAUUUUUUUUCCAGUGUCUAAGUUUCGAUUUUUAUUUAUUAAUGACAAUUUGUAUUUGUAAAUUACUGGAAGAAUUAAAUAUAUGUGGUUAUAUGAAACCUUUGGAAACUAUGACAUUUAAAUAUAUCUUGAAAAAUUAUUUAUUUCUAAGAUACGACAAUUGCCAAUAAACACAAAUGGCAAGUGACCUUACUCUGAACUCAUCAGAUUUUAUAGUGGGAUUAUAUUGGUUAUUAAAGCUCUAGUCAUCCUUUUGAAAAGAAAACACAUGAUAAAUUAUUCGGUAUACGACCUUAGUUUCCCCAGUUUUAAAUUCAUAUUCUGCAAAGAUUCAAGAAUUUUUUUGUUUCUUAAUUCCUAAUUAUCAAUAAGUUUUAAAAAAAAAUUACAAUUUCAAUAAAACAGAUGGAAUCUGGGACUUAUCAUGACUGGUAAAAUUUCAAAACUUUAGAUGUCUAUUUUGACCAGCUGACACAAGCUUGGCAGUACGAGUGAAUUAUUUAUAGAAAACUAAAGAAAACAUUAAAAGAUUAAGAUCUAUUAAGUAAGUUUAUAUUUAAUUUUUGGAAAACUCCUGAUUUAUUUUUCAUAUUAUUCAUCAAAAAUAUUUCACCGAAUAAGGUCCAAAAACGAACAUAAAGAUAGAAUUUUAGUGUAAGUUUAAACUUUCAGAAGUUUAGGGCGUAUAAAUGCUGAAAAUGUGCUGCACUACCUUAUAUUUUGACCUUUAAUAAAAUAGUACUACUAGAACUAGUCAAAGCAGCCAAGUCAGCUUGUGCCUUAUACAAACAGUCACUUUCUUAAAUUGUGUUUGAACUAAUGUUUAACAAUGAUUAGUGCUCUUGCUAAUGUAAAAACUGUGCUUUAUGUGUUUAUUCAAAAUCAUAUUUUCUUUUGACAUUUCAACAAGUUUGCUUUAACUGUUGUUUAAAAGAACUUUUUAAUUUAGUGCUUUAGGAUAAACAUUAUAAGAAACAUUCAAGAUAGUAACUAUUGUUUGAAAUUUUAUUUUAUUCUGUUAUUGUAACUUGUUAUUACAUUUCUUGAGCUAUAUAUGAUGAAUAAAAAUGUGAAAACCCCUUUA